UACAGAGACUGCAAGCGUUAUUCGGAUUCACUGGGCGUAAAGGGUGCGCAGGCGGUUGGGUGUGUCAGAUGUGAAAUCCCGGAGGCUUAACCUCGGAACUGCGUCUGAAACUACUCGACUAGAGUGAUUGGAGAGGGUAACGGAAUUCACGGUGUAGCAGUGAAAUGCGUAGAUAUCGUGAGGAACACCAGAGGCGAAGGCGGUUACCUGGACAAUUACUGACGCUCAGGCACGAAAGCGUGGGGAGCAAACGGG
This 255-nucleotide ribosomal RNA is filed under the name uncultured bacterium. Its description in RNAcentral is "partial 16S ribosomal RNA". It matches the Rfam family "Bacterial small subunit ribosomal RNA", at positions 524 to 776 of the family's 1533-position model. The record is from RNAcentral.